RNAcentral lists this unclassified non-coding RNA (200 nucleotides) under soil metagenome. RNAcentral's name for it is "partial contains internal transcribed spacer 2 and large subunit ribosomal RNA". The record is from RNAcentral.
CCUUCAAGCGUAGCUGGUAUUGGGCGUUUCGCGGGCCCUCUUCGGGGGGCCUGCGCGUCCGAAAAGCAGUGGCGGUCCCCGGGGAUUUCGCGCGUAGUAAAUAUUCUCCCGCGUUGGAAAGAACCGAUGGGUCUGGCCAAAACCCCCCAUAAAUCUCCAUGAUUGACCUCGGAUCAGGUAGGGAUACCCGCUGAACUUAA